ACAGACGGCCACCACAUCCAAGGAAGACAGCAGGCGCGUAAAUUACCCAA
Molecule: ribosomal RNA, 50 nt
Filed under: Craspedostauros australis
Lineage: Eukaryota; Bacillariophyta; Bacillariophyceae; Mastogloiales; Achnanthaceae
Description: partial Eukaryotic small subunit ribosomal RNA
Source: RNAcentral